CCCACAUUAAAAUCGAAUUUACUGAUUCUGUAUCUUAUUUCAUGCUUUAAGAGUUUAUUUUUCAACUUACAUUUUUAAGCAGUGAUGAAUGAUAACUAUGUGAGUUGCUAAAUUGUAUUUUGCAAUAAUAAUAUAUAAACUAUAUAAUGAUGACAAAAUUACAACAGUUAUUGUUUUCAUAAUAUUUACUAUUGACAAUACAAAAUAUAGACAUACAAAAAAAAGCUGCCAAGACGAAUGACAACGCGGUCUCGCGUUGUCAAAAUAGAUGACGCAAAUCCUUCAUUUUCCACACUUCAACAGCUGAAAAACACCCACUUUUAGCUCUUAGUUUGUUCUAAUGGGCGGAUUGUGUGCAAUCGCUGUAAUAUUUUAUUUUUAAAAGGUCUUAAACAGGAAUAAAUUCGUUUGUUGUGAGCUCGCUGUGCGACUGCACGAGAAGCCGCGCCGUCUCGCACUGUCAAAAGAGCUGACGCAAAUCCUUCAUUUUCCACACUUCAACAGCUGAAAAACACCCACUUUUAGCUCUUGGUUUGUUCUAAUGGGUGGAUUGUGUGCAAUCGCUGUAAUAUUUUAUUUUUAAAAGGUCUUAAACAAGAAUAAAUUCGUUUCUUGCGAGCUCGUUGUGUCACUGCACGAGAAGCCGCGCCGUCUCGCGCUGUCAAAAGAGCUGACGCAAAUCCUUCAUUUUCCACACUUCAACAGCUGAAAAACACCCACUUUUAGCUCUUGGUUUGUUCUAAUGGGUGGAUUGUGUGCAAUCGCUAUAAUAUUUUAUUUUUAAAGGCCUUAAACAAGAAUAAAUUUGCUUCUUGUGAGCUCGUAGUGCGAGUGCAGGAGAAGCCGCGAGGGCUCGCGCUGUCAAAAGAGCUGACGCAAAUCGUUCAUUUUCAAACUUCAACAGCUGAAAAACACCCUC
Long non-coding RNA from Cyprinus carpio carpio, 919 nucleotides. NCBI's taxonomy places the organism in Eukaryota, Metazoa, Chordata, Actinopteri, Cypriniformes, Cyprinidae. The record is from Ensembl.